RNAcentral lists this ribosomal RNA (309 nucleotides) under uncultured eukaryote. Its description in RNAcentral is "partial 18S ribosomal RNA". It matches the Rfam family "Eukaryotic small subunit ribosomal RNA", at positions 1470 to 1796 of the family's 1831-position model. The record is from RNAcentral.
CCCUUAGAUGUUCUGGGCGGCCCGCGCACUACAUUGGCACUAGCAAAGAGAUCCUAGAUUGAAUUCUUUGGGGUAUUCUUCUAAAUGGUGUCGUGACUGGGAUAAAUCCUUGUAAUUAUUGGUUUUGAACGAGGAGUUCCUUGUAAUCGCGGUUUAUCAGCUCGCGUUGAAUGCGUCCCUGCCCUUUGUACACACCGCCCGUCGCUCCUACCGAUGGAUCGUCCGGUGAAGCUCACGGAGUGACUGUUCACGCAACGGUUUACGAAGUGAAAUGGACCUCACGAUUUAGAGGAAGGAGAAGUCGUAACA